Molecule: transfer RNA, 76 nt
Filed under: Candidatus Saccharimonadota bacterium
Lineage: Bacteria; Candidatus Saccharimonadota
Description: tRNA-Ala
Rfam family: tRNA
About the family: Transfer RNA (tRNA) molecules are approximately 80 nucleotides in length. Their secondary structure includes four short double-helical elements and three loops (D, anti-codon, and T loops). Further hydrogen bonds mediate the characteristic L-shaped molecular structure. tRNAs have two regions of fundamental functional importance: the anti-codon, which is responsible for specific mRNA codon recognition, and the 3' end, to which the tRNAs corresponding amino acid is attached (by aminoacyl-tRNA synthetases). tRNAs cope with the degeneracy of the genetic code in two manners: having more than one tRNA (with a specific anti-codon) for a particular amino acid; and 'wobble' base-pairing, i.e. permitting non-standard base-pairing at the 3rd anti-codon position.
Source: RNAcentral
GGGGCAUUAGCUCAUCUGGUAGAGCGCUUGCAUGGCAUGCAAGAGGUGGUCGGUUCGAUCCCGACAUGCUCCACCA